RNAcentral lists this ribosomal RNA (241 nucleotides) under uncultured anaerobic ammonium-oxidizing bacterium. RNAcentral describes it as "partial 16S ribosomal RNA". It matches the Rfam family "Bacterial small subunit ribosomal RNA", at positions 442 to 674 of the family's 1533-position model. The record is from RNAcentral.
GUUAUGAAAUGCAGGUGCGUUAAUAGCGCACUUGCUUGACUAAGGCUCCAGAGGAAGCCACGGCUAACUCUGUGCCAGCAGCCGCGGUAAUACAGAGGCGGCAAGCGUUGUUCGGAAUUAUUGGGCGUAAAGAGCACGUAGGCGGCCUUGCAAGUCAGUUGUGAAAGCCUUCCGCUUAACGGAAGAACGGCAUCUGAUACUACAGGGCUUGAGUACGGGAGGGGAGAGUGGAACUUCUGGU